RNAcentral lists this long non-coding RNA (33882 nucleotides) under Fragaria vesca (wild strawberry). RNAcentral describes it as "long non-coding RNA (FVES_LNC002547)". The record is from RNAcentral. Lineage: Eukaryota; Viridiplantae; Streptophyta; Magnoliopsida; Rosales; Rosaceae.
GUUUCAACAAAAUCAAGGAAAAUAAACUCAAUGCGAAAUGUAAAAUUUACACACAACUCCAAAUUGAGUUAAAUAUUACAUUUUCUUGUUUACAUAACUUGAGAACAAGAAAGGAAACGCUCACAUGAGUUUAAUAAUUCCUAUCCCCGUGUAUAUAAAAGAAUAUACAAAGACACACCCAAAACUCAACAAAAAACCCUGCCACUAAGCCUCCAUCUCAACCCUGCUGAUCCUCACCUGCAGGUCUAACCCCUACACCAAGAAAUGGUGCACCGGGUUGUAAACAACACACCCGGUAAGCUAAAAAGCUCGUAUGAGUAAACUAAAGAAAACAACACAACAUUUAUCACAUCCAAUAUUCACAAGAGAGAUUGGAUCAAUAAUUUCAAACCACACAUCAAACACAUUACCCAAGAGAGGUACCCAUGAGUCCCAAAUAUUAAUAAAAUACCUCUCAUGACCUACCACAACACUAUGUGUACCCAUGGGUCCCAGAUACCAUACAGUAUCUCCCAUGACCUACACUGACAGACGGACUAGAGCUCUAUUCCUAACCGCAACCAAUCACCCGGCCAAAGGCUUGGAACCCGGUUUGACUGUCUAAUAUCAAACACAAAAGUGAUAAAUAGCAUCUUAACCGCAACCAAUCACCCAAAAAGGGCUUGGAACCCGGUUUGACUAUUUAUCCAACAAUCAUAAUAAAUUUCACAACAAUAACCUCACAACACAUUAUCACAAUUAUUAUCGUCAACAACAUGAUAUAUCUCACAUUUAUUAUUCUCAACAUCACAAAAUAAAGAAGACUUGUUUUUAUCUUACCUAUGAGCCGUUGGCGAUCAAGCUCAUAUAUUUUUAAAAACAAUUAAAAGAAUAAUAAUAAAACCACCAUCAUCAUCAUUAUCAUUAUAUCAUCAGGUUCAAAAGUGAACCUUGAUGAGAUUUACUCACCUAAGUAUCCAGCUGCAAUUUCCACAACCAAAUUUAGCAAGCGAAACACAACUUCACAACCACCUAAAAACACACAAUUAAAACCUUAGUAACUAAAAUACUAUAGGUUAACACAAUACCCUUAACUAACCCUUAAUUCAAGAGAUGACAACUUUCCAAAGUCGUCGAGCUUAGAGACUCACAAAGGCUGCCUCUAAUUCUCCAUUCCUAACUCAAACCUCCACCAAACCUAAAAUCACACUUAACGUUCUAGCAUGCCAACAUUUCUUAAAAACUAGCCACACUACCACUCAACAAGCUCACAGCAGUAAGGACUACCUAACCACAGGAAACUAGGGCUGCAACUCAACCGGACGCGCCGCCACGCGCCGCCACAGGCGGCGGCGAGUGGGCCUCACGCGCCACCCCAAACUUCCGAAUUUGAGAAAACUCCCAACAGCAAAGUUGAAGCUUGAAGCAAGGGGAACAACUUUCAUACCUGAGACUUUGACCAAAAAUGGCCGGAACCGGCCGGAAACCGCCCCGAACGGUGCCCAGAAAAACAAAGGCAAAAUCUGCAAAACCGGCCUCAAAACCUUAAAAACUUGCUUCAACUAUGCCUAAACACUGCUAGGAGGAAGAGGGGAUCAAUACUCACCUAAACUUGGCCGGAAACGGCGUCGAAAUCGCCGGUUUUCCGGCGGAACAGCAGCAGCUCCGCCGCUUCGUGGCGGCUUCCAGGCGGCGGGACAGCCGGCGGAACUGCUCCAGAAAUGGAGAGGGCUGCUGUGGGAGUCGACUGGAACCGGUGGCGUCCGGUUUGGUGGCCGGAGGAGGAAGAAAUCGGCUGAAGAAAGUGAAGGCUCGGGGAGCUCGGGAGAGGAGAAGAGGAAGGGAAAAAAAAGAGAGAAAAAAAAGUGAGGAGAGAGAGAGAGAGAGAGAGCUGCUUUNNNNNNNNNNNNNNNNNNNNUAUGAACAGACUUGCAUGCCUUAGUUAACAUUGAUAUCAGUAACAUUUAGUCAGAAUCAACAUAUUAAGAACCAAUUAACCAAACAGUUAGUAUUCCAAUGUUUGUUUUGAUAAACAAGCAUACGACAGGGAACAAUUCACCACAAUCAAACUGAUCAAUCUCUUGUUUUUUUUGCUUCAGAUGAUUGAAUAUGGAUCGAAUAGAGAAAAAUUGAUUAUCAAAGAGAGAAAGGAAGAAAUAGACGAUUGCUUCAGACGUACCUGCUGUCUGCUGACGAAUCUGGGAAGAAGAUGGCGACGAGCUUGGCCUUGGAGGUGUCGACGGCCUCGUGGUCGGGGCAGGGCCGAGGGCGUUGAGGACGGAGGGGAUCUGGGAGACGUCGGAGACGGCGCGGGUCAGAGAGGAGGUGAAGAAUGGAAUCGUCUAAGAAAUCGGAGAGGAGAAAAGUUGUGGAGCAGAGAUUGAGAGGGGUGGAAGCAGAGAGAAGGUGAAGAAGAAGAGAGAAGAGUUGUGGAGGUGGGUAUAAAUUUUUUUUUUUCAUUGGGCUGGGCUGUGAUAUAUAUAUACAUAGGGGUUUUUUUGGCCCAAUUUUCGGUUGGGCUGUAGCCCAUACAGCCUUUGCUUUGCUUCCGUCCCUGCAUAUAUGGCUUGAUGCCCUUUAACUCUAAAAUGAACUGGCCUCAGUGUCGAAAGUAUUUAAAUGUGGUGUCUUGUCACUAACUAUCAUUUUUCUUUUAAAUAUAUAUAUUGGCAUGAAACCCUACCUUACUGCUGACACCAUUGGAAUACAUUUUUGUUUUUUUGGUUACAUGACACCCAUUGGAAUAUUGUUGUACUGUCUACGGUCUACCACUUUUUUUUCGACCUCUUUUUUACCUUUUGGGAAUUGUGUUCAAGUGUAUUAUCUCUGGAAAUCAGCAUACACUCGUAUGAAAACAUCCGGCGUUCUUCUGAAGGGAUUUCAAUUUCUUCAUUGAUCGCUUUUUUUUCCACAUUUUCGGAUCCAUCAAUGCAUCAUGCAUGUUACUAGGAAUUAAUAUACGUACCGUAAAUAAUUGAUUAACAACAUGUGCAUGUGACUUGAAAAACUAAUGGUUAGACACAAAAACCAAAACCAAAGCCAAAUGCCUUGUAGCUAACUUUAUGUCUAACCAUAGGUUUUCCGAGACACAUGCUCUUGUUAUUGAUCAAUUAUCUACUGUAUCUAUUUCUAGUAACUUGCAAGAUGGUUUGGCUGAUCCAAAAUAAAGAAAAAGCAAUGAAUGAAGAAUUGAGAUUCCAUUGGAAGAAUGCAAUGUGGGAGAUAGUAUUCCAUGUCUGUCGGAAAGAAAACUAUUAGGCAUUGUUGGGCGCUUACAAUGAACCUUAAGCCAAAUGAAACUAUUGACAGAUACAAUGCAAAAUUGGUCUCAAGGAAUGUGCAUUACGCUAUGGAAUCCAGCUCGGAGACAUAACCGGAAACUAGAAUAUAAAACUACGGAAUCCAUCAAUUCCUACCUUUUAUGUUCUCAGAAAAGAAAAUGCCGCGAAUAGUCUCCUCGGGGACUUGGGCAGGUCGCGGUUCAAGGGCUAAAUAACGCCAGUAGGAGCCUGAAACGACGUUUUAGAGAAUUCCAGAAGGGUAGAGCACGGACCCUUCUUCAAACGGACCUUCAUUCUAUGAUUAGAUUCGCAACCAGGGAACCUAGAGAGGCAGGUAAGGGUGGACCGAACUAGCGCUCGUUUAUGAUGAUUUCACAAUUCUAGCCGAUUGUUCUCGAGUCCUCGCGAUGGAGCAGCAUCCUCGAGCUCGAGAACCCCUGUCUAAUAUGUUCCAAACCCAUAAUAUAAAAAAGUCUAGUCGGAAGGCUAAAGCAGACUGGGGCCAAUUACUCGAGAGUGGGGCUAAGAAAAAAAAUUGGUUGUAACUAAAGUCCUUUAACUGAACUGGUCAUUUAGGCAAAUUGUUCAUAAAAAAAUGUCCUCACACCUCCAAAUGAGCUUCCUUCAACGCCAAGCAAGUCGAACAGAAACCCAGGUUAAUUAUGUACUUUUUUGAACUUGUGGCGAAGUGAAAAUAGUUUCAACAGUAUAAUUCUAUUUUGUAGUGCCUUUUAACCAAAUACAAUUAAAUUACUGUUGAAACUAUUUUUAGUUUAUAAACAAUAUUGUAAAUACAUUUCUUAAUAAAAUUUGACGAUGUUGUUGAGAUCCUAGAUAAAGUGAAUUCAUGUUAAGAGUUGAGACCAUUUGAAUGUGGUGUCAAGUCAUGUUGGUACUGGUUUUGGCCGGUUGAGAAUUCACAGGUGGUAGAUGGAUGUAGGUCCAAGAAAGCCAACCUGCGGCAGGCAAGCAUCGGGUUAGAAACUAACUUGGUACAAUUUAUGUGCUAACUGGUUUCAUGUCAACUUUUCAAUAAUGCAAUCAACCUUCUACUUCUGGUAAGUUCACGACUUGAUAUACAGUCUCCCGCCAACUGGUUAAUUUUACCAAACCAGGUUUACAGGGGCGUACUCGAAUGAUAAUCGAAUCUCACCGACGCCCACUGGAAAUUUGGAGCCUGCAAUGAUGUAAGGUCACAGAUGAAAUAGUUAAUUGCAUAUUCGUACAUAGUGACAUGUAGAGAGUGACGAGAUAUAGGUAAGAGUAUCUUGAAGUCAAAUAUAAAAGGCGCAGUUAAUUUCAUUAGAGACUUGAAGUCAAAUGAUUGUGUUCAUAUUUCAAGCAUUCUUCAUCGGUUGUCAUCCUUGCUACCGAUAAAAGGUAUCAAAAAAUUAAAAGGAAAUCCUUUGGUUAUGUGAUCUAUGAUUUUUUUAUUUAUUUAUUUUUUUAAAAGAUGUCAUCCAUUAAUGAAACUCAACGAACAAUACAAUAAUGAUCUGCCGAGAGGGCCGUCAGAAAAAACCAUCAUGCAGAACAACUAUCUUAGUACGCUCUUCACACAAACAUACCAAAACACUCACUCCAAGUACAUUCACCUUCUACGAAGAUAAAACCAAAAACAAAAAGAUUAAAAACUCCGAAGCGUAAUAAACUGUAACAUCAGAAUUCUUAUCUUCAUAUUGGUCUCCCGAUCAAAAUCAAGCGGGUACUAUAGCAGAAGUGGAGCUCACCCCUUCUGCUACCUCCCUAGCCAUCUCCACUGCAAACGCUUCUGUUGAACAAAGCCCGCAACCAACCUCAAAAGCCAACGCCUAACAGAGAGAAACACUAGCUGAUCCAACCCAGGUCCAAACCAGCCAAAACCCUAGAGGAGCCAAGAAGGAGACCAAAGUAGCCGCUUUCUCCUCAUCUCCGCCGCUGCCACCGCGACCAAGCCGUGUCGCCGGCGUACCCUCCCCUUGAAACGAAGACCAUAAGCCAGCAUCCAUACUAGCCACCUCCACAGCCGCCACUACACCACCACCCCUCCCUCUGACAUCACAAAGAAGGAGAAGAUCUAAUCCAUGGUUGUCGACAUCAGCUUUUCCACCACUGUGCGCAAUGACCCCCGCCCUCCAUCCAAAGCCAUGGCAACCCAACAACAGAUCUGGGUUUGUUAACCACUUAACCCACCAGUAACACUCACAGUAAGAGGAUUAAGGCCAGAGCCUUGGUUUAAGAGAUGUCGUCGAGCUAACCCGCCGACACCACCACAAGUUGAACAAGAGAGAGGAGGAAAAGCUUCCCAUGCAAUCGAAGGUACAAAGUCACCGUCAACCGAGACUGAGCGGCACCGAGAAAACUCUCUUGCGAGAGGCAGAGAGGAGAACAUGUUAUUGAAGUUAUUGUUGUUAUCUUAGUUUGUUUGAUGGGAUGCAUUAAUCGAUAUCUACAAAAAAGCGGGUUAGCAAGCGAUCAAACAAUGACCGAUAUAUAUUGAUGGCGUUCCCAUCCUCAAGUCUCGUUCCAUGCAUGGUAGAAAAAGAGGAAAUUGAUUCGCACUUCUCAUUUUACAAUUUAUACUCAUUAUUUCUUUUGUUUAUUAACUUCAAUCUUUUGGUAAUGUGAUAACAUGUGUUUUGUUCUUUUUAACAGAAAACUGGAACAGAGAGCGUAGAUUGUGAAAUGGAAAAUGCACUUUCCAUAUCAAACGAAAGAUUCUAAUCUAAUGUUGCUAUGUUGCUGAUGAUUGUUUAAUUUUUACUCGAGCAUCGUAUACUGCUCCAAAGAAUGUAAUCAACUUAUUGUCUACUUUUUCAGAAGCUUCAGGUCAGCAAAUUAACUACCAUAAAUCAACAAUUUAUUUUUCUACUCAUCUUUCUGCUGCUUCUGUUAAACGUGAUCUUGCUGCUUACUUGGGAAUUCAACAUAAAACUAGUAUAGGUAAGUAUUUAGGAGUCCUAAACAUUAUUUACUGGAAAGACCCUAUCAAUUUUCAUGACAUAAUUCUUAAAAUGAAGAGGAAGUUAGCUGGUUGGAAAGCUAAUACCUUGUCUAGAGGAGGUAAGUUAACUCUUGUGAAUCCAACCUCACAGGUAUGUCUAAUCAUAUACUUUCUUGUUUUAAAUGUCCUCGUCAUUUUCUUCAUAAGAUAGAUAAAGAAAGUCGACAGUUCUUUUGAGGCUCUAGUCAUUCUAAUGUAGCUUGGAAUCAAACUACGUACUUUACCUAAAGGCUAAAGAUAAAGGGAGUUUGGGUAUACGAUCUGCAGAGGUUUUUAACUGUGCUGCACUAACGAAACUAGGGUGGAAGAUUCUAACCGAACCAAGUAAUUGGGGGGUACAAGUAGUAACUAGAAAAUAUUUACGAAAUACUAAUUUCCUUAAUGUUCCUCGCAAAAAGAAUGCUUCUCUAGCCUGGAAAGGAAUCGACACUAGAGAUGUCCUACUUGAAGGCCUUCGCUGGAUAAUAGGUGAUGGGGAUUCAAUUCUUUUUUAGCCUUUUAAUUGGGUACUCCCAUAUUCUUUGUUCCAUCUAAUCCCAUCCGAUCAAAGACAUGUCUUAGAUUCGAAUCUCAAGGUUUCUGAUUUUAUUGUCAAUGGACAAUGGGAUUCUAACAAGUUACAUACUCUUUUGCUUGUUAAUAUUGUUAGCCAAAUUUGUGCAAUUCCUUUGCCUAUUUACCAUACCCUUGAUGAAUUCGUCUGGGGACCUAGUGGUUCUGGUAAGUUCAGUAUUAAAUGUGCAUCUUCAAUGCUAGAUAGUAAGGCUAUUCCGCAUACUGCAGCUAGAACUCCUAGUCGGAUGUGGAAACUAAAACUACCUCCUAUAAUUCAAGUUUUUGCCUGGUUAUUAUUGCGUAAGAGACUGGUUAUCACGUUUUUACUCUAGUAUCUCUCCCAUUUGUCCUUUUUGUCAUUUACAUAAUGAAUCAGCAUCUCAUAUUUUCCAGCAUUGCGAUUUUGCAAAACAGGUUUGGUCUUUGGCCCAGACACCCACACCUACUUUGUGGGAAGGUUCUAUUUAUUCUUGGUUGGAUCAUAUCUGUUAUUCUACAUCCCCUGAGAUUACUGCUUUAAUCUUUCUUAUAUUAUGGUUACCCUGAAAGCCUGUACAGGUUAUCAACCACGCUCCAUCCACAGGGUUACGACUUGCGAAUAACCAGAAGACUUCAAGCAAUUUCUUCAGAUGCUAAAAAGAGUGGGAGACAAAGAGUAAGUAAACAGACCUCUAACCAGUUGAGAAAAUUGUCAUGGCAUUGGUAGAUAGAUAAAGAUUACUAACCUGAAUCGCACUAGUAGAAAAAAGGCUUAAGCAAUGGGCACUUUCACAUUUCGUCGCUUAAGCAAAUCCUAAGCGACGAAAAAAAUAUCGUCGCUCUAAAUACAUAUUUCAUCGCUACAAUUUUCUGGGGUGACGAAAUGUUUUUGUCGCUUAAAUUUCGUCGCCACAGGUCCCACUAAGGCGACAACAAGGAUUUUGUAGCAAAAGAUUUGUGUAGCGACGAAAAUGUUAACACUUAAGCGACGAAAAUGUUUGUGGUAUUAUAUCCUUCACCUAACCGACAAAUUGACUUUUCGUCGUCUUAGGUUUAGACUAAAGCGACAGAACUUUUGACUUUAGAGCGACGAAAAUGUUUGUCGCAUGAUAUCUUUCACCUAACCGACAAAUUGACUUUUCGUCGUCUUAGGUUAAGACUAAAGCGACAUAACUUUUGACUUUAGAGCGACAAAAAUGUUUGUCGCAUGAUAUCUUUCACCUAACUGACGAAUUAAUUUUUCGUCGUCUCAGGUUAAGACUAAAGCGACAGAACUUUGACUUUAGAGUGACGAAAAUGUUUGUCGCAUGAUAUCCUUCACCUAAGAAUAAUUAUAUUCUUGCAUUCUAGCUAUUUACAUGUUUAGCCCUAGAAAUCCCGUUUAAGAAUCAUUUUGUUACGACUUUGUUUGACAAAAUGAUUCUUGAAUUGUCCCAUUUUUGGACAGUUUGGGAGAACAUGACUUUGAUUUGCACUGAUUUAUGUUAUUGUAGUUGAGUUUUCGAUAGUGAGUAAUUUCGACAGGGUCUCCUGCUACUGCACAUUAGGUAUAAAAAUUGAUGCAUUUGGGGAACUGUAGGGAGAUGCUGCCGAAAUUUUUCCACGUCGGAUUUGAAACCACAAUAACAUAAAUCAGUGCGAAAUAAAGUCAUGUUCUCCUGAAUAGGAUUAGGACCCUAACCGGAGGCAUAAGGUGAAGAAGAAGAAUUGAAUGGAUAUAUGUGCUUAUUUGUUGCUAACGAUGUGCAUUUUUAUUUCUAUUAUGACAGGCAUGUAGAAAAAAUGGAAAAGAGCUGGAUGCAGUACAAGAGGGGACACCUUUUAUAUAUACAGGGGAUCGUAGAUUUUCUGAAAUUUGUACAACAAUACGAUGGUGGAAAGGAAUGGCACAAGUGUCCGUAUAAAAGAUGUUGUUGCGGUAGUUGGGAGACAAUUCAGGGCAUAGAAAAACAUUUGUCACAUUACAACAUUGAUCUAUAUUAUACUACAUGGACUGAACACGGUGAAGUGCUAGUUAAUGAUCCUAUAAUGCCCCAUUUUCUACCAAAUAACUUGCAUGAGGCUGGCUCAUCUAGUGCUUCCGCCAGCCCUUAUAUGGAUCCCACGUUGAACAUGCUACAUGAUGCUUUUCCAUACGCUUCAAGAUAUCAUCAGGAAGAAACUCAUCAUGAUGCACCCCAGGAAACAGAUUCUACUUUCUCGAACCUAAACACUGGUGAUUACGAUAAGUAUAACAAGAUGCUCGAAGAAGCGCAGACCCCAGUGUACGAGGGAUGUUCAGAAACUGUUUUGAGUUCUCUCAUGGAACAUAUGAGUUUGAAAAAGAAGCAUAGGACCUCGAACAAACAUUUUGAUGACUAUUCAUCGUUUGUUAGACGUUUGCUUCCUCCUGCAAACAAACUACUAUCGAGUCAUUACAAGGCAAAAAAGAUCAUGAACGACCUCGGUCUUGGUUAUGUGAAAAUUGAAGCUUGUAAGAAUAAUUGUGUUAUGUUUUACGGAGAUUACAAAGACAUUUAAAUGUCCCAAGUGUAAUGCGUUGUGGUGGGAAGAUACUCUUUCCCCUAAAGGGAAUGAAUGUGCUUCGUUAUUUCCCGUUGACUCCUAGGCUGCAACGUCUCUACAUGUGUGGAAAAACUGCUGAGGAUAUGAGAUGGCACGGUAUUCCGAGGGAAGAUGACAAUGCGCUGAUACACCCCGUAGAUGGGGAAGCAUGGAAAUCCUUUGAUUUAUCAGUUACUGAUUUCGCUGCAGACGUUCGAAAUGUAAGACUCAGACUCUCAACAGACGGGUUUAAUCAUUUCGGAAACAUGAACUUGUCUUACAGUAUCUGGCCUGUUAUUAUUGUUUGUUACAACCUGUCUCCCUGAAUGUUAAUGAAGAAGGAAUAUAACAUGUUGGCUUUGUUAAUUCCAGUACCAAAGUCUCCAGGAAAGUUUCUCGAUGUGUAUUUGAGACCACUGAUUGAUGAGUUGAAUGGGUUAUGGGAAAAUGGAGCAUUGACUUUUGACAAGCAUACCGAUACUUCAUUCAUGAUGAGAGCAUCACUGAUGUGGAUUAUUAACGAUUUUCCUGGUCACGGGAUGUUGUCCUCUCAUCCCACUAAAGGGUACAAAGCUUGUCCACUAUGCUUAACCGACAUCAAUUCUAGUUGGCACACUAAUAGGGUGUGUUAUAUGGGAGCUCGUAGAUGACUUCCAGAUGAUCAUGAGUGGAGACUUGAUGUAGUUAACUUCGAUGGGAAACAAGAGUUUGGUCUGAAACCCCGAGAAUGGAGUGGCGAUGAAAUUUUAGAUUUGUUGAACUCCUUUAACUUUGAAAAUCUGAGCAGUGAUCGUGAAGUAUUGGCUCGGGAUCCUAAACGUCAUUCGUAUCUUGAUAAUUGGACACAUAAGAGUAUAUUCUUUGAGCUGCCUUACUGGUCAAAGUUAAGAAUAAGACACAACCUAGAUGUUGUGACGACAUCGUUGGAACAAUUCUGGAUAUAAAAGAAAAGACCAAGGACACUAUCAAAGCACGGUGCGAUUUGCAAAAUAUGGGUUUACGCCCACACUUGUGGGUAAAACAAACCGGCUCUAUAGUUGUUAUGCCUAUUGCACCGUACCAGGUGAAGCCGGCUUUGAGGCCUAAAGUUUUCAGCUGGAUUCAAGAUGUUAAGUAUCCUCAAAGGUAUGCAGCAAAUAUAACUCGAUGUGUUAAAGUGGGGGAAGAGAAGAUAAUUGGAAUGAAGACGCAUGACUGUCACGUUUUGUUGUAGCGGCUCUGGCAGAAGUUAUGCAUCGUGAUUAGACCAUAUAUGCAUCGUGAUGUUGUGGAGCUAUUAGUAGCCUUGUCCCGGUUCAGGCAAAAGUUAUGUGCUCGGGAGUUGAAAAAGUCAGAUGUCCUUAAAUUAAACAUCGUCUGCAUCCUUUAAUUUGCAAACUGGAGAGGAUUCCCCCCCCCCCCCCCUUUUUUUUUUCUAUUAUGGUUCACCUCAUGAUCCACCUGCCUGAAUAAGUGUUGUUUACCGGUCAAGUACACAAUACCUGGAUGUUUCAUAUGGAAAAGUAAAUUUACUAUUUCCUAGCACUUUAUGACUUUGAUUUAUAUAUUAUUAACGAGCUCAAUAAAUUAACUCUGACCUUUUAUUUUCUUUAAGACAACUCGGCGGAUAUAAGGGGUAUGUUAAAAAUAUCGUCCGGAGGGGUCAAUAGAAGAGGCAUACAAGAUACAUGAGUGUGUAACCUAUAGUGAAAAUUAUCUCCAUAAAAAACAGAGCAUGUCGGCAGUGAGAUUACACCUAGGUUCAACUUUUCAGUUGUUUCUGAUGAUAUCUGUUUGUUUGGGAAAUUAUCAAUUUCUGAAAGAUUCACCGAUGAUGAGAUUGUUGAGGCUCAUUGGUGGGUACUGUGACACUGUGACCAAGUCGACAUGUUUAGACAUCCACAUGAACAACUUUGCAAAAUUAAAUAUGGUGACAGAUGGGAAGAGAUGCAGAAGAAGACAUUUCCUAAAUAUUACACAAAAUGGGUGCGUUUCUGUUUCAUUUUUUUACACGAGAAAUUAACAUGUUUUGAUGUUUUUUCAGGUUUGUGAUUCCAAAAAUUAACAUGUUUUGAUGUUUUUUCAGGUUGCAAAGUUGCAAGAAGAAAAUAGUGUACAUUACAAACCCGUGUUGUCUUAUUUGGCUGGUAAGCCGCAACAUGUGAAUAUAUAUGCUGCUUGUGUAGUCAACGAUAUUAAGUUUUUGACAUUGCAUCGAGAUUAUGGUUGAAAGACACAAAAUAGUGGCGUGAUGUGUGUGGGUACGGAAGACAGAUCUGAAUAUUACAAGGUCGUUGUAUCUGUUGUCGAGCUAGUCUACGCAACUGGUAUGCCAGUUGUAUAAUUGAAGUGUAGAUGGUUCAACGACCUAAAUAUACUGAGGAGUACCAAGAUGAAUCAUGGUCUGUUAUCAGUGAAUACAUGCACAAGCUGGUAUGAGAAUCAACCGUUUAUUGUUGCCACAAUGGCAAGACUAGUUUUUUAUCUUGAUGAUCCAAAAGAGGGUGGGGGUUGGAAAGUUGUUAACGUGAUGUUACAUAGAGGUAUUUACAUUGCAACUACACUUGAGAUGUAUAUUGCAAAUAGAGAUAUUGAGAAUGUGACUUUUGAACUAUAUUAACAAGCCUCGACAUCUAAUAUCCCCGACACGGAGACUAUUCACAUCAACAACGACAUCCACUUCCAACCCCGUGAGCGCGUUCCCAUUUCUAAUUUAGAGUUUGACUUUGAUUCACUUCCAUUCAUCCCACCAACUGAGAACUUCAUUGACGACGAAGAGGAAGACUCAAACGAUCAUUCAUAUGAAGUGAGGGUGAUUUAGAAGACGGGGACUAUGAUGAUAGCGAUUCAAAACUCAUGAUGUGUUAAAACAUCAAAUUUUCGAUUUAAUUAUGUUAUGAAUUUAAUUAUUAUAUAUGUAAUGAAUUUAUUCUAUUAGUUGUGAUAUGUACUAAUUUCCGUUUGAUUUAGUUUUAUACUUUACUAACAUUUUAUGAGCUAGUAUUAAUUAGUAAAAAGUGAAAUAUAAAUGAUUUUCCAACUUAAGCGAUGAAUUUUGUCAUUUCCGUCACUUUAAAACGUAUAUUAUUUGGUGAAAAAUCAAAAACUUAAGCCACUUAGGCAACAAAAAAGAAACAGAUCGUCCCUUUGACCCAAAUAUUUGGCGAGCUGCUUUUCAUUCCCAAAUUUUGGCCUAAAUUUGAACGAACUUAAGUGACAUAAGCCAUAAAGGUAUUCGUGGCUCAUUUGUUACUGUCACGCCCCAAUUUUCGAAAGAUAAAUUUUCAAAAAUUUGGGCAUGAUAUAACACCAAAUCUUAAAAUUCCAAAACCUGCUCAAACAACUUCCGAACUAAAAACAAAUACUGGAAUUGUAAACGUCAACAAACUCAUCAACCGAGUUAAACAUUACAUCUCCUUAAUUACAACAACUUCAAAAGUCUAGUAAUAAAGGGUCGCUCACAUGAGCUUAAAAACAACCGCCAUGAUAUACAAAAAAAGUACAUCGCCUAAAACCCAGCUCCUAAGCCACUGCCUUAACCCUGCUGAUCAACACCUGCAGGUCUAACCCCUACACCAUAAAUUGAUGCACCGGGUUGUAAACAACAAACCCGGUAAGCUUAAAAAGCUCGUAUGAGUAACUCUCAAAAUAAAACUCAACAAUUUCAACAUCACAUAAGAUAACACUGGAAAUUCCUGCAUUAAUAACUUAGUUCAGGAAUCACCUAAAAGCAAGAGAAUUUAAAAGAACUAAUUAAGAGAACACAACAAUUCAAAAUCACUCAAAAUCAUAAAUGAAUCCUGCAAAAAAACGUAGUUCAGGAUUCCACUAAAAAUCACACAAAUAAAAUUAAAGAAUCUCCUACAUUAAGCAUAGUUCAGAAGAUAUUUAAAACAAGGAAUUUAAAUGACAACAUAUGAGAACAUCACACAAUCAUUUCUCAACCCUUACUUAAGAGUUCGUCAACACAUAGUCAUCCCUCAUAAGUAACUAGACAAAGACGUACUCAUGAGUUCGUCAACACAUAGUCAUCCCCCAUGAAGUACCGACAGACUAUAACUCUAUACUGACCGUAACCAAUCACUCGGCCAAGGCUUGGUUCCCGGUCCACCACGAAAGCUCCUAAUCUAAUGCACACAAUCACCACUAAAGCACACAUCCACAACUAAUACACACAAUCACCACUAAGGCACCAUUCCACAAUGAAUGCACACAAUCACCGCUAAGACACCAUUUACAACUAAUGCACACAAUACCAAGGCACCAAUAAUCACAAUGAAUACACACAAUCACCACUAAGGCACACAUGCACAACUAAUACACAAAUAACCACAUCAAUAGAACCAGACAAGCGACACCUCACUAGAAUAUACUUUUUCACGAAGGGAUAUAUAUAUACACAAAUAUAGAUUUUCUCACAAGAAUAAUCUACCAAGAACUAAAAAUAUUGUAGUCACUAGAACCUUAAAAAUGAUCAUUUAAAAAUGAAAAUUUGUUUUCUCUUACCUAUGAGCCGUUGGCAAUUAAGCUCAUAUAUUUUAAAACAAACAAAAAGGAAAACAUAAUUUUAAAUUAUUAUCAUCAUCACAAUCAUCAUAAUCAUCAAUAUUUUCAUCAACAUAAUCAAUAUCAUCCUCAUCAUAAUAAUCAUUAUCAUCCUCAUCAUAAUUGUAAUACCCUAGAUUUUCAUAUAUUAUUCCCUUAUUUAAUGAAGGAUUAUUUAUGAAAAUUCUUUGGUUUAUGCGAAGUUGAAGUUUCAGGAGUUUAUUUUAAGGUGCUUUGAUUUUAAGAGGCCAAAAGUUGACUUUAUUUUCUGUAAGUUAUCUUCAAAAACUUCCUUCAUGAAAGUUGUAGAGUUUGUCGAUACGAGUUUGUAGACAUGAGGCAUGCUUGAAACGGAUGUCGUAUGGGAAAGUUAUGGUCAAAGGAAGUUAGUUUUCGGGUUUGGAAAGUGUAUAAGUAGAAAAAUGUGUGUGGGUUAAUUUUUGGAACCCUAAAAUCAGCUCACUCUCCACACUCUCCUCUCUCUCUUCUCUCUCUUCUCUCUCUUCCUCUCCCGAGUUCCCCCGAACUCCCUCUCUUUUUCGGCCGAGUUCUCGCUCCUCCGGCCACCAAACCAGACGCCACCGGUCCCGUUCGACUCCCACAAGUGCUCUCUUUAAGGCUGGGCAGCUGCUACUCAGUGUGGCGCGUCGGAAUCAGAGCUCUGUUGCUGGAAAGAGGGCUGAUGUGCCACCGGUCGGAGCUGCCGUAUACGGCGGCGACAAGGGGAAACCAUAUGUGAGUUUUGAUCAUCUCCUCCUCCUGGUAGUGUCUAGGCAUAGAUUAAUCAAGUUUUGAGGUUUUUGAGCCCAGAUUUGCAGGUUUGAAGUUUGAUUUCGGGUUAGGGUUUCGUGGCGUUUUCCGGCCGGUUCCGGCCAAAAUUGGUUGAAGCCUCUGGUAUGAAAGUUGUUCCCCUUGCUUCAAGCUUCAACUUUGCUGUUGAGAGUUUUCUCAAAUUAGGAAGUUUGUGGUGGCGCGUGGCAGCGCGUCCGGCUGUGGUUUUGGCUUAGGUUGCUGUGUUUUAGCUAGCACUUGUUGUGGUGAGCUUGUGGAGAUGUAGAAUUUCUAGGUUGUGAGCAAGAUUUGUAUGUUAGGACUUUAAGGUUGUUAUUAGGCUUGGUGGGGGUUUGAGUUAGGAUUUGAGGAUUAGAGGCAGCCAUUUUAGGUCUCUAAGUUCGAUGACUUUGGAAAGUUGUCCUCCCUUGAACUAAGGGUUAGUUUAAGGGUAUUGUGAUAACCUAUAGUAUUUUAGUUACUAAGGUUUUAAUUGUGUUAUUUUUAGGUGAUUUGUGAAGUUGUGUUUGGUUUGCUAUUGUCGACUUGUGGAAUUUGCAGCGGGAUUUUUAGGUGAGUAAAUCUCACUAAGGUUCACUUUUGAACCAAAUGUUAUUAUGGUCAUGUGAUGAUGAUAAUGAUGAUGAUGUUGGAUUUAAUAAUAUGCUUUUAAUUGUUUUUAAAAAUAUAUGAGCUUGAUCGCCAACGGCUCAUAAGUAAGAUAAAAAUAGAUUUUCCUUAUAUGCUAUUUCUGAGAUUCAUGUGAUCAUAAUUUUAUUUAUUAUUGAUAGAUUAUUCUUGUGGAAUAUCUAUAUUUUGUUCAAGUAAAUAUAUCUAUGUGCAAAGAUAUAAUUUAUGAUGUAAUAUUGUGUUGUUGAGGAUAAUGUUGGGAUAUUGUGAUUGUUGGAUAAAUAGCCAAACCGGGUUCCAAGCCUUUUUUUGGGUGAUUGGUUGCGGUUAAGAUGCUAUUUAUCAUUUUUGUGUUUGAUAUUAGACAGUCAAACCGGGUUCCAAGCCUUUGGCCGGGUGAUUGGUUACGGUUAGGAAUAGAGCUCUAAUCUGUCUGUCAGUGUAGGUCAUGAGAGAUACUGUAUGGUAUCUGGGACCCAUGGGCACACAUUUUGUUGUUGUAGGUCAUGAGGGGUAUUUAUUAAUAUCUGGGACUCAUGGGUACAUGUUAAUUGAAAAAGUGUUGGAUUUGUGGUUUUAUUUAUUGAUAUAAAUUGCUCUUGUGAUAUAAUUGGUGUUAUUUUGAGAAUUACUCAUACGAGCUUUUUAGCUUACCGGGUUUGUUGUUUACAACCCGGUGCACCAAUUCUUGGUGUAGGGGUUAGACCUGCAGGUGAGGAUCAGCAGGGGUUGAGGCGGAGGCUUAGUAGCAGGGUUUUUGUUUAGUUUUGUUGUACAUUGUAUAUUUUUAUAUUUGGGCUAGACUUUAUUAAAACUCAUGUGUGUAGUUUCAUUUUCUUGAUUUUCAAAUUUAUGUAAACAAGGAAAUGUAUUAUUUAACUCGAUGUUGAGUUGUGUGACUUUUACAUUUCCAUAUUAAGUUUUAGUUUCUUUGAAGUUGGUUUGGAAACAGGUUUUGGGACAAUAAUAUCAUGCCAAAAUUUUUGAAAAUUAUCUUUUGAAAAUUGGGGUGUGACAAUAAUAAUCAUUAUCAUCAUCAUCAUCAAAAUAAUCAUUAUCAUCAAAAUAAUCAUUAUCAUCCUCAUCAUAAUAAUCAUUAUCAUCAUCAUCAUAAUAAUCAUAUCAUCCUCAUCAUAAUAAUCAUUAUCAUAAAACUAAAUAAUUUGGGUCCCAAAGUGAAAGUUGGUGAGAUUUUACCCACUUUAACUCCUGCUGCGUCUUCACACAAACACAAAAGAAAGCUCAAACCAAGCUCCCGAUAACCACCUAUUAAUAAAUUGUUCACUUUAGUAACCAACAUGACCAAAACACUUCCCCCUUGAACCAAGACUCUACCCUUGACCCAAGGUCUUGUCCUUCAAGACAACUCUUCUUCCGAGACCUCCCAAGAUAAUAGGAACCCUCAACCAACCUAUUGAAAAAGGUUAACAAGAUUUUCCACCAAAGCUUAACAACCUCUCCCGAUUCUCAACUUAGUCUUAAACCUAGGAUGCAAAACUUGAUCAUAACAUAACCUCAUGACAUGUUAACGUGCUCGUAUCGAUGAGCACAAGCUAACAGUUACUCCUAACCUCCCAACCCCUACCGGACGUGCCGCCACGCACCACCAAAGACGGCGGCGAGUGGGCCCCACGCGCCAUCCAAAAACUUUUGAAUUUGGGCAAACUCAAAACACGAAACUUGUAGAUGGAAGAGAGAGAAGCGUCUUUUAUACCUGAGGUUUUGCCCCACUCGGCCGGAAAACGCCGGAAAACACCAGACUUGUCGAAAAAGUUGGAAUCCACCACCAUCACUCUACACCAAGAGUCGAGCUUCAAGACCACCUGAAAUCGAACUAGGACGCCAAGGAGCUUCAAUCUCGACCAUUUCCAAGCCGCGUCGCCGCCGCCGGAGGUGGGAAUCCCAACCGAUCUCCAAGCAUAACUUUCGAGCUUCGGUUACCACUUCGGGACCAAAUCGGCGUGACCCAGCUAGAGGAGAACGAAGGCAAGGAGAAGAGGAGUCGAUUCGGGCCGGUGGCACGGUCAGGCGACAUCGGACGGCGCCGGAAAGUCCGGGUCGGGUCAACCGGGUUCGGGUCGGGUCAGACAGAAAACUUGGAAACCGAAGGUGAGGCGCGGGAGAAGAAAGAGGAAGGAAAGUGAUGCGGGAAAAAAAAUGAGGGAACCCAAUAACUUUUUCAUAGUUAUACUAAAAAUUCCCGAAAGCCACAAACUUUUGCUGAUCAUAAUUUCCACAUACGAAGUCCGUUUUACACGUACCACAUGUCUACGAAUUCGUAUCGUCGUGCUCUACAACUUUCGUGAAGGAAGUUUCUCGAGAAACCCAACGGAUUAGAAAGUCAACUCUUGACCCUUCAAAACCGAAAAACCGUUUCGGGUAAUUGAUGCAUCCGAACACUUUUUUUCUUCUUUCGAACCUCAAAACACAAUAACUUCUAACUCGAAAAAUUCUUGAAUAAUAUUAGAAACUAAUAUCAAAUUUUCGGGGUAUUACAGUUACUAUAUAUUGUUUCUGCAUCACUGAUCGAGAACCCUAACAUUGCUCAAUCGAUCCCAAACUCCCUCUUCCUCCUCUUGCCCAACCCCUUCCUGCUGAUCGAAAUCCCAUAAUCCCACUUCGUAAAAGCUCAGCCACCUCCAAUCUCUAAGCAACUAAACCCGAUUAAAAUCCCAAAAUUUGUCCCCCAACUCUCUUCCAUGUAAAACCUAGAUCCCUUCCUCUUAUUCGAAAUCCCUAGCUCUCGGAAUCCCUAAUAAUAUCACCUCCACUUCCUCCACCGCUCACAAAAUCCAGCCACAUCUUCCUCUGACUACCUAGAUGCCAGCGCCGCUCGGGAAAAGGAAAGCUCGGGAGGAGGCAGAGGAGCGUUUGCGACUGGAGUGUGCGCAAUAAUAUGGCUCUUCUUUUGCAGGAUCCAACCAAGCCACUCCGACGACGGCGCCUCUAGGAUCCCUUGCUGAUUUGGCUCCCCUUCUAACCGACGAUGACGAGUCAACGACCUAAAUAGCAGAAACACCGUCUAAGGGUGCACCCAGGGUUUUCAGCGCUCACCGUAAACCUAAGAAAAGUGGAGGACCUCCCCAGAAAGGCAACCGUGGUGUGGUGAACAACGCAAAGGUGUCUGAUAUUGUAAAAAACACGGGGAAGAAGAUCAACUUGGACUUUGAUUGGGACGUUAUUGAUAGACCUCGUAAUUUUGAUGUAUGCAAUCUGUUUGUCAAUAGUAUUGGAAGCAUCAUACGAAAAAAGUGGCAAUGAAGAAGGAAUCGUGGUAUGAUUUAGACAAGUCGGAGAGGCAAAAGCUUUUUGACGGUCUCACUGUAAGUUAAGAUAACUUUCAGUUCUUUUUUUUGGUAUUUUGAUUCCAUGCAUCAUUGCAAUUUAAUUAUAACUUGUUUUUUAUGUCUUGCAAUGUUUUUUUAUCAUUGAUUUUAAUGAUAUAAAAUCGAUUAAAGGAAUCAAUAAAAGGGCGGCAAGUGUAUUCCGUAAAUAGAAGCAUGAUUUGUCCGAGAUUCACAAGCUCGGGGGGAGAGACGUGAUUCCGGAAGAGCUUUUGCACAGGAGGGAUGAGUGGGAGUGGUUUUGCACGUAUUUUGUUUCGGACAAGUACAAGGUAUAAAUUCAGUUUUGGUUAUGAGAUAGAAGGACAAGUACAAGGUAUAAAUUGAGUUUUGAUAUAAGAUUCUAGUUAUGAUUACGUGGUAUGAUUAAAUCUUAGUUUGAAUAAAUUGAGUUCUGGUUACUGCAUACAGUUGAGAAUUUUGAUUAAAAUUGGAUAUGAUUGUUAAGUUUUGGCCUUGUGUUUGUGGCAAUGAAGUUGGUACUUUGAUUGCUAAUUUAGUCUUAGUAGUAUAUAUGUAUAUAUAGGUAAUUUCAUAGUUCUAUGAUUGAACUUGGUUUGAUCAACUGAUAGGUGCAUUUUAUGCAACGUUCUUAAUGUAUUUCUGACCCUAUUUAGCUAUGUAAUUCCUUUAAAAAUAUUGAUUUUAACUUAAUUUUUGUUUUUAGGUUGCAAAUAAAGCCAAGGAGCACAAAAUAAGUAGAAGAGGAGAAAUCUUGAAGGAAAAGGAAUCCAUAUGGCACAAGGAAAGAAAUCAGAAAAUCUGCCAGGAAUAGUCAGUCAACUUCGACAGAGUAUUGUGAUCAGCUCACAGUGAUCCAGAAGAUGAACCUUAUAUCAACGGAAAGCUAGAAGAGUCUAGUUUCCAGAAAUCUUCGCGGAUCGUCAAUAGCUAUUUUAGAGAAGAAGUUAUGACCGUUUGAGUGGCCAAAUGUCAGUCUGCCCGAAUUUCUGAUUUGGACCGGAAUUUCAAUUUCAAGGCCCAGACCACAACGGCGAGCCCAUGGACGAAAAUUGAGGGUUCUCUAACCCUAAUAGCAGCUGUUCAUACGUUCCUUAUACAUAUGAGGAGUUGGAGACGUGAAAUGGGUCGCUCUUUGCGGCAGAAAAAUAACGUCCCUUUCAUCUCCUUCAAAAAUUCCUCUCCAAAACUCAAGCCCUAGUUUAGGACUUCUCUUGACGUUCCUUCUCCUUUGUAAUCCUCGGCGUAGUUCUUGUCUCAAUACCCAAAGUGUAAUCUAAAUUCAGACCUCAUGUUUUCUUUUACUAUCUAUUCAAUUACUUUAGUUUGUUUCCAUCUCUCUUGUUCGUUUGUGUUCAUGAGUUGGAUUUUUGAUUGAGUUUGUUCUUAUAAUAAUGUUAAUCAGAUAUGUAUAGUUGAGUUGUUGGUGUAAUUGAUGAUGCUUUUGAUGAUCUAAAUUGUGUUUAUGUGUGAUUGACAACUUAUGACUUGUACGUUCUCAAUCAAUAUGUGUCAUUGUUUGUGUUAAGUCCGCAUCGAUAAACAUGAACUAUAAUGGUAAGGAGUUAUAGGUUGCAUGCUAGGAUGUUUUUGAAGUCCGCGUCGGUGAAUUACAUUCUAACAUGUCCAAGUUCUUCCUCUGAUCUAUUUUAGAUGUGAAGUCCGCGUCAGUACAUAUCUAUGAGAAGUUAGAAGGGUUUUAAGUAGUUAAGUCCGUGUCAGUAAAUUACUUGAAAGAUGGAAUUUGAUUCGUUUCUCCAUAUGCAUGAUUUAGGUUGUUAGGGUUGAAAUUGCAUAGCGACUUGGUUAUAUGAAUCUGAUUUAGUGUUUUCUUGUGUGCAAAGAGACGAUCACAUGUAUAUAGUAGGUUAGGUUUUUGUUUCUUUUUAGUUUAUGAUUUUCGUCACUCUUCUGUUCCCUGUUUUCCUUUAUUUUAUUUUCAUACCAAAUGAUCUCCGAUCCCCCUAAAAAUCUAUACAGUAGUUCGUCAGUGUGUCUAGUAGGCCUCUGUAAAUUUUCAUAUUUUUCUGAGUAGUUUAGGUUAGGUUUUUAAUUAGGUUUUCGACUACUGUUCUAUGGAACAGUAGCUACUUUUGUAAAUUGUUUAAAGGGUUUAUUACUUAUCAAUAUUUGUUAUGUUUUACUAACGCUUUGUUUUGCAAGGUACUCUCAAUCCCCGGCCCUAUAUGAUACUCUUAUUUACCUUGUGCUACUAACGAUGAAAAAGAUUUAUUUGAUGCAGGGUUUGCACCCGUCAGCAACCAAGAUAGAAACUUGUGAGAGCUUGAGGAUCGGGUUUGAAAGGGAGUUAUUUUUACAUCCUGUUAUGAUUAUGUGGUAUGAUUAAAUAUUAGUUUGAAUAAAUUGAGUUUUGGUUACUGCAUAUAGUUGGGAAUUUUGAUUAAAAAUUGGAUAUGAUUGUUGAGUUUUGACCUUAUGUUUGUGGCAAUUGAGUUGAUUCUUUGACUGCUAAUUUAGUCUUAAUAGUAUACAAGUAUACAUAGGUAAUUUCAUAGUUCUAUGAUUGAACUUGGUUUGAGCAACCAAGAUAGAAACUUAUGAGAGCUUGAGGAUCAGAUUUUUAGGGAGUUAUUUUUACACCCUAUUUCAUCAUGUACUUGGUCUUGUGCAGAGACGAUCGGUUGCCAACUCCAGCAACCGUGGUAAGGAGUUGGAGCACCACUCAGGGAGGAAACCUAUCAUUUACCAGGUGGCUGAACUUAGGGUUAAGGGUGCUUCAUUACCGGUGGUUGACGUGUACCCGGUGACAUACGACAUCAACCAGCCUAAAGCUAUUGAGCAUUAUAUAAGUAUCAGUACCUAAUGCCUUAAGGAUAAUGGCUUAGUGUUUAAAUAUAAAUGGUUUUGAUUCAAUGACAAAUAAUAAUGGUUUGGGUUUUGGUGUAUUUGCUCUUUGCUAUUCAAAUUUAUAUGCCAUAUGCAUUUUCUGCUUUUCAUUUUCACAAAAUCAUUUGAGAAUCUGCAUUUUCAGAAAAUCUAAAUAGUCUUGUAGUAGUUUUGUGUAUUUGUGUUGUACUUAAUGUUGAAAGUAAUUCAAUGUUCAGUAGGAAAAAUUUUGAACUUUGAAUUGAUAGUUUUGGCUGCCUAAUUGUUGCUACUGUGUGUAUUGGCUAGUCGACAAUACGAUGUUUUGUUUCCUUGUUCUUCAGUGUACUAUGUUGCUUUGCAACAUUUGAGAUUCCAUUGCAUAUGAUCUACUUGUUAGAUAUUGGAAGUAGAGUCCUGAAGUUUAGUGUGUUUCCAACCUAAUGUUAAACUUUUAUUUCUGGAUGAGUGUUCUAUCAAUAAGGUUUAUCUAAAUACAUUAUACUAAGAGGUUCAUGCCAUUGAUUAUGUUUAUGUCUGCAUUUGUUUAGCUAGUUGUUAAUCAACUAAUCUUUCAACUUUACUCCAUAUCUUAUUUUGUACCUAGGACAUUUUCAAAACCCACUUCUCAGACAUUUAUUUAUAAAUGGUUUGUUGCAAAUUUACAACCUAUUAGUAUUCAAGAGUUAGUAUUGCAAGUUUUUGUGCGUUGGUAUUGCUAUUUGUUCUGUGUGCUUGCUUGUUCAAACCUAUAAUAUAAACCAAGCAGUUUUCAUGUUGUAUAUGGUAUAAAAGACUAUUUUAUCAUUAGUUUGAAUACUUUGAUUUCAAAUACAUAAAUUUAAGUGAUAUAUAUCCUGAACAUCUGAAUCUACAAAAAUUUCAAGUGGUUAUGCUUGCAUCUGAGUUUCAUAGAUUACAUUGGAUGUUGUUUCUGAGCUUAGCUAGCAGCCUCAUUGUAUCUUAGUUUCAUACAUCAUUUCCAGAAAUAUAUGUUAUCUUUUUCCAAGUAUAUUUAUAUGUUAUGGCUAUUAUAACAUAUAAGAUAAUAAUAGAAACAUAUGAGUCUGUUAAGAAAUUGCUUGUAUAACCUGUGCACAUGCAUUCUUGUGUGUGCAAGCACAUAUAUUAUUCGUAUGGGAUUUGGUUGAAAUUUCUCUACAUUUGUUGUUCUUUUCCAAUUCUACCUGCAAUAAGGGAUCAAUUUAAAGUUAUUCAUUUACUCUCAUGAUCCACCUGUCUUUGGUGGGUAAUUGGCUGCAGCAAGGCAGGAUUUUUGCUUACAAACAUGUAUAAAUCUCAUCAUGAUGAUAAGAAAGAUGACAUAUGAUUGUCCUUUGAUUUUCUUUCUUAUAAUGUGACCUUCUCAAUGUUGACGCUUGUAUAAUGUUAGUUUCAGUUGACUUGGUCAUUUUUACUGUUCGCUGCUCUUUGCCAUAAAUUUAACAUCAUAUCCAUUACUAUAUUCUUUCUCAAAUUACCUAGGACAUUUAUAAAACCCACUUCUCAGACAUUUGUUUAUAAAUGACUUGUUGCGAAUUUACAACCUAUUAGCAUUCAAGAGUUAGUAUUGCAAGUUUUUGUGUGUUGGUAUUGCUAUUUGUUCUGUGUGCUUGCAUGUUCAGACCUAUAAUACAAACCAAGCAGUUUUCGUGUUGUAUAUGGUAUAAAAGACUGUUUUAUCAUUAGUUUGAAUACUUGAUUUCAAAUACAUAAAUUUAAGUGAUCUAUAUUCUGAACAUCUAAAUUUACAUACAUUUAUAAAUGACUUGUUGCGAAUUUACAACCUAUAGGAGACGAGAAACUCUAAUAAGCUAGGUGAAACAUUAAAACCCCAGACAACAUUAAGAGUAAAGCAUGUGUCUUACCCCUCCUACUUGUAUGAGAAUAAACUUAGAAAUUUAGAUUUAGUUUGAUGGACCUUUUAUUACCUGGGAAGCAUAUUCCUUAAGACAGAUGGGAGAGUUUGGAUGUGUGCUAAAUUGAUGUGUUCUUCAGUAAUUUAGGUACCUUACCUUGCUCGCCUAUUUGAAAAAGUGGGUAUCAACUUUGACGGCCAUAAUCCAAAUACCAUUUGUUGUGUUAACCUUUUCAAUUCAUGUUUGGUUUGAGCUGCUGUGUUCUGUUUUUUGAAUCUCUCUGUCAUGAUUACUUAAGGCUUUGUGUUAAUGUUGGUAUAUAUGACUAAAUACUGUGUUUUGUUAUGAGUUGAACUUGUAUGUAUAUUUUCGUAUUGAUUGAGAACGAUCUCUGAAUUACUCCACAAGUGAACUUUGAAUUGAUAGUUUUGGCUACUGUGUGUAUUGUCUAGUUGUUUGAUUUGUGAAGUGAGCUACUUAGGGGUGGGCAUGGGACGGGAUAGGAUGGGAUAUAGCUAAUCCCACGGCCCGUCCCGGAUAUUGAAAUUGGGACGGGAUAGGACAGGCUUUGCGUUUUUUAGAUUUCAUCUGACCCGGGCCCUAUCCCGGUCGGGAUUGGACGGGUCCAGUCCCGGAUAAAAAAAGUUGAAAAUAAACUUGUAAGCAAAAGAAAAGGUUUCAUAGUUUUAUAGUGCUUUUUACUCUAUUAAGUAUAAACAAGUACUUGUAACAUAUUUACAAGUACAACACGGUGUAAUAAAAGAGUUUAUAUUUCUUACUUUCUCUAAACUUAUCAUCACUACUAUUGUGCAAGAAGAGAGUCUACAACAAUCAACAAAUUAAAGUAUUAAACAUCAUUGUUAUUGAAUUGGAGACAACCUAGUAACUUAAAGAAAUAAAGAGCUAAGAUUAAAACACUUAAAUGAAAGGUUCAAAUCACAUAUUAAUUAAUAAAAAAUCAAUCAUUAAAAUAGUCGGGACAUGACAGACCUAAACGGGACUUGAAUUAUCCGUCCCACGUUCCGUCCCGUUGUCUAAGGAUGAGACAAGACGGGACGGGACGGGACGGGCCUGACAUUUUGAGAUUUAAAUCCCGUCCCGUCCCGACAAAUUUCGGGACGGGUUCGGGAUUACGAGAUUUUAUGCCCACCCCUAGAGCUACUGCAUGUGUAUAUUGUCUAUGGUGUAUAAUAUUGAAAAUAACAAGAUUGUUAGCAUGCAUUUGGUAUCUCAACAUUAUAAUUUGAGUUGUAUAUAUUAUUUUAUAAUUGUAGGAAAAGUUGACGAAACAGGCUGCUAUUGCCAAGAUUUUAUUGAGCACUCAACACCCGGACAUCCCACCGGAUCAGCUACCUCUUUUGGACUGGCUAACUCAACUAAAUGUUGUGAAAAACGCUAUGGGAGAGAAAAAAAAGGGUCUUACCUUCGUGGUAUUGGACAAGCAGGCGUCCUAGAGAAGAGCAAAAUGUCAACAUCUUCCCUUUCACUCUCUCGACUGACUAAUGAGGCAAUGACAUCGAUAGAGGUUGCUAGAAAGGAGGCGGCUGAGGCACAAGAGAGGGCCCAAAAAGCCGAGAAGAUCGUUGAGCAGUCUGCUGCAGAUUAUCAAGUUUUGAAGUUGAAAAUGGAUCAAAUCAUGGCUCGAAUAGGGCUACAACCUAUGUGUUCACCCUCGGUCCCAAGCCAACAACCUCGAGACAACGAUGAUGAUAGGGGCCUUGACACUUCUCCGAUUAGUUUAGAAAAUCAAUAGAUUUUUCUAGUUUAAAUAAUUGUACAAACAAUACUACCUAGUAUUUCUUUUGGUCGGUACGAUAACUUUAUUAGUAAUAUAAACAUUUCCGUUAAUUUAUUUUGAUUUUACAGUAAUUAAUUAUUUACUUACAGUAAUAUAUUUUUGAGUUAUUAUAUCUCUUAAUAAUAAAAAUAAUAUAUAUUUUUUUUUCAAAAAACUAAAACCUAAAAGACGAAAAUUUUGUCUUCUAAGAUGCUUAUUUUUGUUGCUUAAGGGUAAAACUUACGCGUAAAAAUUAACAGGCCAAAAUAGUGUUCUGUCGCAUAAGGCUAUAGCGACGGAAAAUUUUGUCACAUUAAAUCUAGUGUCAAAAACAAACUCGUCUCUAAACUAAAAAGUUUUGUCGCUUAACAACAAACCGACCGGAGAACAUACGUCGCUGAACAAUUUAAGCGACGACAACAAUUCGUCGCUUAAGUUAAUUAUUCGUCUCAUUAAACCUAGCGAUGAAAACAAACUUGUUGCUAAACAAAAAAAUUUCGUCGCUUAACAAUAAAACGACAGGAGAACAUACAUCGCUGAACAACUUAAGCGACGAAAACAAUUCGUCGCUUAAGUUAAUUAUUCGUCGCCUAGGUCUGUGGCGACAUAAACAAUCCCCGUCACUUGUUCCGUUUUCUUAAGCCACGGAUAAUAUGUUUUUGUCACCUAAGUGCCUAUGAGAUGCUUCAUAUACGACGAAUUUUAAGCGACGCCGAUUUCGUCGCUUAAGUCUUAUGGCGAUAAAAAUGGGCACUUAGCCGACGAUUUUUUCCUCUCGCUUAAGCCUUUAUUUCGACUAGUGAUCAUAGACAAGCAGUAGAUAAAGAUUGGCAACUUAGAACAUGAGCCAUACUUCUGUCCCCUUUGGAUUGCUAUGAAACAAUAAGUAGAACAGGUGACUAACAAGGUGAUAUAACUAGAAAAUAGAUUCACCAGUUUGAGAAAUGUGUAAUAGCAUGGGAGAUGAUAUUGAUUACUGACCAGAAUCAUAGACAAUCAGGAGUAGAUAAAGAUUGGCAUCUUCACACAUGAAAUAGAAUGUAGUACAAGUGACUAACAAAGUGAUAUAACUAGAAAAUAGAUUAACGGUUGCACAUUCCUAUAAAGAAAACAAAUUUAUAAUUAUGAUUUAAGUGCAUUUUCAUUUGAAGUGUUAGGCAUAUAUAUACAUCAGUAGUCGAGAAUAUUAAAUUGAUUUUUUUUUUCAUUAGCAAUACAGGGAGAAUCUUAAGAAACUGUACUACCACCCAUCCUAGCUAGAAGAAGAAGAAAUUAGGUUGAUGAUUUACAAGGCUUAUAAUCAGAUCGCACAGAGAGCAAAAAUAGACCCAGACAUAUGGUGGAAAGUUACGCAGAGGCUAGGGAAUCUAAGCACAUAAAGAGAAGAACAAUUCUACAAACAAGUUUGCAAAGACUAUCCAGGGAAGUACUUCAAUAAUGGCCAAGGUUUUGUCUAUUAUUAUAAGGACUGCUUGAGCACUUAAAUGAAAAAAUUGAACGACACAAUGCACAAGUAACUACCAUAAACGAAAAAGACAAAGAAGAAGCUGCAGAAAAAGCUAGGGUAGAUGCUAAAGCACAAAGGAUUGAAGACAUGAAGAUUAUAGAAGAAAUGGCUGCUCUAAAUAUAAAGGGGCGGCAAAUUGAGGACAUUGAACCUAGACGCUCAUUGGGUAAAAUGGAAUGGAGAGCUUGUUCUCGGGAAUCGUACUCAAACUCUAUAUCUUAAUGGUAGAAGAGAACAUAUAGUUCAACAUAGAUGGAGAGGAGCUGGGAAUACCAAUGCAAGUAAAUCCAACCCCCGUGCCAAUGACAAUGGAUGCCUACUACAUGGCACAGAUGAUGAUGUACGCCAAGAACGAGCCACAAAUGAUGAUGCAUGUCUUCUAUGGGCCACAAAUGGCAACGAAUCCUAACUUAGCGCAACAGAAGCAAGCUUACUUGGCGCACCAGAAGCAGCAGGCUUACUUGGCGCACCAGCAGCAGUAGCAGUCUUACUUGGCGCACCAGCAUCAGCAAAGGGCUUACUUAGCGCACCAGUAGCAAGCUUACUCGGCACACGAGCACCAAUAACACGUUUAUUCGGUGCACCAGCACUAGCAGUAGGCAUACUUGGCACACCAGAACCAGCAACAGGUUUACAUGGCGCACCAGCACCAGCACCAGCAGCCGUUCUUGGCACAGCGGGUGUAAGUGUGUCUCCUAAGAGGCUAAGAAUAUCAAUGCAUCUAUUAUUCAACAUCGACCUAUUAUUGGUUUUGUUUUACAAGAUCAUUUUGGAAAUCUCCCAUAUUGCAACUGCAAUGAAGAAGAAGCUCGAAGAUACGAGUGUUGUUGUCGCUGAAGCCACUGCUUUACGUGAAGGUCUUCAUACCACGUUUCUUCAACAAAUUUCAGAAGUUUUUGUCAAGGGUGACUCAAAAUUAAGUAGCUUGACUUGAAAAAGGUCUCACUCUCUUGGAGAGAAGUUUUGAAAGAAAGCUAUCUCUUUAACCUAAGAGAGAUUCUGGAAAGAUCAACGUUACGAUAUGAACUCUAAUUAAAGAAGAAUCUUUCUAAAUCACUUCGGGUCAGCAAGCCGUUCAAAGGAUCAAAAAAACACCAGGGUUGUAAAUGAUAUAGCGUUCCUGAUGACUCGGUAAACAUCUUUCAUUUAUGAAUUAGUUUUCUAUUUCUUAAUUAACUUUUACACAACAAAAAUGAAUUUACAUGAACCACGGUGGUCAAAUUGGUAAGAGCCUUGGUGUGGAACCCCUAUACCUAGGUUCGAAUCUUGCUGACGUUAAUAGGAGUUAAAUCCCAAUUUAUUCUUGGUGACAAGUGAGAGGAAGCGGUCUGACAUGAUCUCUCGACGCGGAUUAGUCUUCCAAAAAUCAUUUGAAAAUCCCGUUGAUACUUAAAAAAAAAAAAUUUACAUGGAAAAUAAACUAAAAUAAAAAUUUAAAAGCCUUAUCCAGAUGGCUGGUCUCUUAAAGUGAUGAACUUUGUGUAAACAUCUGAGUAUUUGUAUACAUCAACAAUCUAACUUCAUGAUGUAACCUUUCGAAAGUUAAGUUAAUCACUAAAGAUUAUCUCUACAAAAUGCAUUAUGAAACAAAAUCGUUUUUUUAGUUGGUAUUAUUAAACAAAUGGGCCAUUGAUUAUGAGAUUACUAACUUUCACAACAACCGUUCAUUUGUUUGAUACAAUUGAAUGAGUAGAUGUUUUUGAUUUGCAUCCAUUUUCUGCAAAAAAAAAAAAAAAGAAUCUUGAAUGGUUGUUUUAAUGUUUGAACAAAUUUAAAAACAAAAAACAUAAACAAUUAAAUGACUAUUUCAUCGUCUAUUCUCGAAAUCAUGUAUUUUCAUUUCCAGAAGUAUGUAAUUAGAAAGUGCUCGGUCGCAAUUAAUUUUUCUUAUCUACAUCCUGAUAGAGAUAAGUGGUGACAUGAGUUGUAUCCCUUAUAUUUUUUUUCUCAUAAACUACUAAACUACUUCAGUAGCUAAACAUUAUCACAUCUAUUACAUGAUGAUAAUUCAUUCGUUAUCAAUUUUAUUAGAGUUGGCGUUGGGAAAUUUUCAUAUGGUACUAUUUUCUUCUAUUUCGAAUGUCAUACUAAGUUGUGAGGUGAUUUCAUCAGUGUGGUUAUGAAAAUUAUGAUGAAAAAAAAAAAAAUCAAGUGUACCAAUCAUACCAGUUGGAUGUUGUCUGUGGAUUGAAAAUGAGUGAAAGUUCCAUGGGCAUAGAAAAAUCUAGGUAUAUAUGAUUGGUUGGGCUAAUAUAUGCGUAUGUCACAUCCAUUUAACUUGUUUUAAUCUAUAUCGUGAACAUCUCAUUUUAAUUGAGAACGUGUUUUAGCUGGAAUUGCUUGAUUUGGUUAAGUUCAACAUUUAGCUUACAAAAGUGAAUUAUUUAAGCAAGCUUUGGCUUUGUUAUGUCGGUGAGCCGUACUUUGGUUGGUUAAAGAGUUUAACUGACAGCUUUGAGGUCAUGGGUUCAAACCCUCAUUGACAUAUAUAGGUGAGUGAGUUAUUAAUAAAAAAGUUUUAUUUUAUUUUAUUUUAUUUUUUAAAAGGCCUUGGCUUUGUUAACCAUUUAAAUUAUGAAAAUAACUUCUAAAAGAUAAACGAAUGGUCAACCUUACAUAGAGGUUAUGGUCAUCCAUCUGUUUGUACCUAUUUUUUACAUGUCGACCUACUACGCCGAAGUAGUUGGUUGCGAAGAAGCCAACAACAUUUAAUGAUAAUUAUGGCAAUUAUUUCGUAUAAUUAUCAUCAACAUUAAUGAGAUUUGCCGAGAUUCAUUAUUUGGUAUUAACACAAAUACAUACCAAAUAUUGAAGAAGCCAACAACAUUUAAUGAUAAUUAUGGCAAUUAUUUCGUAUAAUUAUCAUCAACAUUAAUGAGAUUUGCCGAGAUUCAUUAUUUGGUAUUAAAACAAAUACAUACCAAAUAUUGAAGCAACGGCGAUAUAUGGCAACAAAAUAACAUUUACGGCUAAUUAGAAGCAUUGAAGAACGAUAUUUCAAGAUAAUUAGUGCAAUUCCAACGAAGCCGCAAGAGGAAACAAAUAACGGCGAUAAUUAUUGCCGAGAUUUAAGUGAAUUUGAAGGCAUUAAAGAUGAUAUUGCACAAUUGAGAGCAAAUUGAUUCUAACGGUGCUUCAAAAAAGAAAGUAAAUAUGGAGUGAUUAAGAAAAUAAGUGGAGCAUAUCUUUAUUCCGGUCAUUAAGACCGAAAUUCAAAAAAUAUUUGAUUGUAUUAUAUUUCCUUAAUUGGGUGUACGUACUUGUAUAUAUUCGACCCCCAAGCUCAUUGUAAAUGGUCCCCGACCAACACACACAACUCAAUACAAUCUCAAACACUUCAAAUUCUCUACGAAUUCUCUACAAUAUCAAUCUUUUUAUCCAUGUUCUAGCAUAGUUUUUUUCUUCUUUUUAUUCGUUUUCUUUACAUUCCGCACUUUAUCGCUUUCUUUAUAUUCCAUACUUUACUUUCAUGCAAUGUCUCUUCUGCGUCUUUAAAUUCAUGCACUUUAAUUUAUCGCAAUUACUUCAUGCAAUUUACGUUUCAUGCAAUUUCAAUUUUCGCCUUUAGAUUUUUGUUCAUUUACUUUUCGUACUUUAAUUCUCGCAAACUUAUACAAAAAUCACAAAAAAAGAGGAGCAACAUCGGUGAAAACGCCGAAAGUCCUUGCAACAAAGGCAAGAGAACCCAAAGGCCGAGACGGUUCCUUCCUCAGUUAAGAUCCGUCGCCUAAGUGUGGUGAGGUAGACACUUGGGCGUCGAAACCUAAAAUUCCGUCGCCUAAGUGGUUCUUAGGUUAGGCGACGGAUUUUAUUUUACAGUUAAAAAAAAAUUAUCCACUUAGGAGACGGAAUAGUUGAAUUCCGUCGCUAAAGGUUGAAAAAAAAAAUUUUAAAAAUAAAUAAAAAAACCACCGCAGGUUUUUUAUCCACUCACUCUGACCGCCUCAAAUACCACCACCACCGCAGGUUUCAGAAGUCACAACUAAAUGUCUUGAACUUCUUCUCAUUCUGCAUAUAAGUAGUAAAAACUUGCAUUUAUAAAUUGCAUAUGGAAAAAAUAAAAUUUACUGCCCCCCAGUAAACUUCUACUGGGGAUCAGUAAACUUGUAAAAAAUAACUCUCUUUCUAUUUCAGGGGCACAACACACAACAUAUAUCAAUUCUUACCUUAAUAAACAACUUUAUUGGCCCCUAAUGAACCCAGUAGAAGUUUACUGCCCCCAGUAAACUUCUAAUGGGGGUUAGUAAAAUUCAAUACAGUAUCUCCUUUUCAAUUUCAUGUCAAUUAUACAUAACAGAUACCAAUUCUUACCCUAAAAAACAAAUUCAUUGCCCCCUAGUAAAUCCAGUGGAAGUUUACUGCCCCCAGUAAACUUUUAUAGGGGGUCAGUAAACUUCAAUACAAUCUUCCUUUCAAUUUCAUGCUAACAAUCUGCCUCAAAUAUACCACAUGUUACACCCAAAUUUUCGAAAGGAAAUUUUCAAAAAUUUUGGCAUAAUAUCUCUUAAAAUAAUAUAAUCCCAAAGCAUGUUUCAACAAAAUUUCAAUGAAACUAAACUCAAUGCGGAAAGUAAAAUUUACACACAACUCCAUAUUGAGUUAAAUAUUACAUUUCCUUGUUUACAUAAACUCGAGAGUCAAGAAAAUGAGACGCUCACAUGAGUUUAAUAUUGUCUAUCCCAAUGUAUAUAUAAAAAUAAGUAUAUACAAUGAACAACCAAACCCAACAAAAAAAAACCCUGCCACUAAGCCUCCACCUUAACCCUGCUGAUCCUCACCUGCAGGUCUAACCCCUACACUAAGAAUUGGUGUACCGGGUUGUAAACAACAAACCUGGUAAGCUAAAAAGCUCGUAUGAGUAAACUAAAAAAUAACACAACAUUUAUCACAUCCAAUAUUCCACAAGAGAGAUUGGAUCCAUAAUUAAAGAAAAACACACAUCCAACACAUUACCUAAGAAAAGUACUCAUGAGUCCCAGAUAUUUAAUAAAAUACCCCUCAUGACCUACAACAACACUAUGUGUACCCAUGGGUCCCAGAUACCAUACAGUAUCUCCCAUGACCUACACUGACAGACGGACUAGAGCUUUAUUCCUAACCGUAACCAAUCACCCGGCCAAAGGCUUGGAACCCGGUUUGACUGUCUAAUAUCAAACACAAAAAUAAUAAAUAGCAUCUUAACUACAACCAAUCACCUAAUUAAAGGCUUGGAACCCGGUUUGACUAUUUAUCCAAAAAUCAGAAUAUCACAACAUUAACCUCAACAACACAAUAUCACAUCAUUAUUCUCAACAACACAAUAUCACAUUAUUAUUCUCAACAACACAAUAUCACAUUAUUAUUCUCAACAACAUAAUAUCACAUAAUUAAUUCUAUCCUCUCACAUGGAAAUAUUUACAUGACCAAAAUAUAGAUAUUCCACAAGAAUAAUCUAUAAAUAAUCAAUAAAAUCAUGAUUACAUGAAUCUCAAAAUAGCACAUAAAGAAAACUUGUUUUACCUUAUCUUUGAGCCGUUGGCGAUCAAGCUCAUAUAUUUUUAAAAGCAAUUAAAGACAUAAUAUUAAAACCAACAUCAUCAUCAUUAUCAUCAUCACAUGACCAUAAUUAAAUUUGGUUCAAAAGUGAACCUUGGUGAGAUUUACUCACCUAGAAAUCCUGUUGCAAAACCCCCAACACAACUAAGGCAAGCCAAUCACAAAAUCACCUAAAAUCACACAAUUAAAAACCUUAGAAACCAAGGUAUUAAAGGAUAACACAAUACCCUUAAACUAACCCUUAGCUCAAGGGAGGACAACUUCCCAAAGUCGUUGAACUCAAAGACACAAUAGAGCUGCCUCAACUCUUCAAAAUCUAAACUCUAACCCAACCAAACCAACACCAAUAAACUUAAGUCUUAGCAUGCCAACAUUUCUUAAAGACUAGCCACACUACCACUCAACAAGCUCACAACAGUAAGGACUAGCUAACCAUAGGAAACUAGGGCUGCACCUCAGCCGGACGCGCUGCCACGCGCAGCCACAAGCGACGGCGAGUGGGCCCCACGCGCCACCCCAAACUUCUGAAUUUGAGAAAACUCCCAACAGCAAAGUUGAAGCUUGAAGCAAGGGGAACAACUUUCAUACCUGAGACUUCGACUAAUUUUGGCCGAAACCAGCCGGAAACCGCCACGAACCGUGACUAGAAAAUCAACUACAAAACCUGCAAAAUCGGCCUCAAAACCUCAAAAACUUGCUUCAAUCUAUGCCUAGACACUACUAGGAGGAGGAGGAGAUCAAGACUCACCUAAGGACGCCCUUCGUCGCCGCCGUAUACGGCGGUUCCGACCGGUGGCACAUCAGCCUUCUUUCCAGCAACACAGCUCCGGUUCUGGCGUGCCACACCGAGCAGCAGCUGCCCAGCCUUGAAGAGAGCACUUGUGGGAGUCGAACGGGACCGGUGGCGUCCGGUUUGGUGGCCGGAUGAGGGAGAACUCGGCCGGAGAAAGUAAGAGUUCGGGGGGAGCUCGGGAGAGGAAGAGAGAGAAGAGAGAAAAGAGAGGGAAGAGAGAAAAUAGAGGCUGACUUUGUUUUUAGGGUUCCCAAAUACAUCCCACACACAUUUUUCUACUUAUACUCUUUUCAAACCCGGAAACAAACUUCCUCUGAACAUAACUUCUUCAUACGACAUCCGUUUCAGGCGUGCCACAUGUCUAUGAACUUGUAUUGACAAACUCUACAACUUUCAUGAAGGAAGUUUUCGAAGAUAACUUACGAAAAAUAAAGUCAACUUUUGGCCUCUUAAAAGUCAAAGCACUUUAAAAUAACCUCCUGAAACUUCAACUUCGCAUAAAUCACAGAAUUUCCAUAAAUGAUCCUUCAUUAAAUAAAAGAAUAAUACAAGGAAAAUUGAUAUGAAAAUCUAGGAUAUUACACCACCGCCACCACCACCACCGUAUCAAAUAACCGCCAUGCCACCAUCGUCAUACCAAUCACAUCCUAACCAAAAUUAAAAUCAAAAUCAAAUUAAACAAAAACACAUAAAUCUAUCACCAAAGCUAAUUAAACUAGAAAAAUUGAAGAACUUACCUUGAUUUCUUACCCUUUUGAAAUUUCGAGGGACGGUGGUGGGUUGGUGGAAAGGCUUGGUAGAGAGAGAAAGGUGGCGGUAGCAGCGUCUGUGGUGACCCAGAUCUGAGGCUUGGUGCAAGAGAAGGGGACGAGGAGCUUGCUGGCGACGGACGGGUGAGUCAGGUCGGGUCGAGAGGGAGAGGUUGUUGGCUCCGAGGAGGGUGCGAAGGUGGGCGGGUGAUGUUGAAGAGGGUCUUGACAGCAUUAAGAGUGGUGGCGUUUAUGGGGACAAAGUCGAUGAGCGCGUGGCNNNNN